Molecule: ribosomal RNA, 486 nt
Filed under: uncultured bacterium
Lineage: Bacteria
Description: bacterial SSU rRNA
Rfam family: Bacterial small subunit ribosomal RNA
Source: RNAcentral
CAGGACGAGCGGCUGGCGGCGUGCCUAACACAUGCAAGUCGAGCGGGGACAUGGAAGUAGCAAUACGGAAAUGUUCUAGCGGCGGACGGGUGAGUAACGCGUGAGCAACCUGUCCCAGUCAGGGGGAUAACGAGCCGAAAGGCUCCCUAAUACCGCAUGAGACCACAGGCAUCACAUGGUGCAGGGGUCAAAGGAGAGAUCCGGACUGGGGUGGGCUCGCGUCUGAUUAGCUAGUUGGUGAGGUAAAGGCCCACCAAGGCGACGAUCAGUAGCCGACCUGAGAGGGUGAUCGGCCACAUUGGAACUGAGACACGGUCCAAACUCCUACGGGAGGCAGCAGUGGGGAAUAUUGGGCAAUGGGGGAAACCCUGACCCAGCAACGCCGCGUGAAGGAAGAAGGUCUUCGGAUCGUAAACUUCUAUCCUUGGUGAAGAUAAUGACGGUAGCCGAGAAGGAAGCCCCGGCUAACUACGUGCCAGCAGCGGC